AAACGAUGUCAACUGGUUGUUGGGGGAGUGAAAUCCCUUAGUAACGAAGCUAACGCGUGAAGUUGACCGCCUGGGGAGUACGGUCGCAAGAUUAAAACUCAAAGGAAUUGACGGGGACCCGCACAAGCGGUGGAUGAUGUGGAUUAAUUCGAUGCAACGCGAAAAACCUUACCUACCCUUGACAUGUCCAGGAUCCUGCAGAGAUGCGGGAGUGCCCGAAAGGGAAUUGGAACACAGGUGCUGCAUGGCUGACGUCAGCUCGUGUCGUGAGAUGUUGGGUUAAGUCCCGCAACGAGCGCAACCCUUAUCAUUAGUUGCUACGCAAGGGCACUCUAAUGAGACUGCCGGUGACAAACCGGAGGAAGGUGGGGAUGACGUCAAGUCUUCAUGGCCCUUAUGGGUAGGGCUUCACACGUCAUACAAUGGUCGGUACAGAGGGUUGCCAAGCCGCGAGGUGGAGCCAAUCCCAGAAAGCCGAUCGUAGUCCGGAUUGUUCUCUGCAACUCGAGAGCAUGAAGUCGGAAUCGCUAGUAAUCGCGGAUCAGCAUGUCGCGGUGAAUACGUUCCCGGGUCUUGUACACACCGCCCGUCACACCAUGGGAGUGGAAUCUGGCAGAAGUAGGUAGCCUAACCGCAAGGGGGGCGCUUACCACGCUGGGUUUCAUGACUGGGGUGAAGUCGUAACA
This 686-nucleotide ribosomal RNA is filed under the name uncultured bacterium. Its description in RNAcentral is "bacterial SSU rRNA". It matches the Rfam family "Bacterial small subunit ribosomal RNA", at positions 804 to 1493 of the family's 1533-position model. The record is from RNAcentral.